GUGGUGAGUUUUCAGUCAUUCCCCUGUCUGGCCGCAUUUAAGAAGGCAGGCAACUGGAAGGCCUCAUUACUAUGGCUGCUGCAGGUUUUUAUCCUCCGAGGCUACUCCCACAAGUUCUGAUCUCCACAGGACCGGGCUUCUAUGAGGAUGAACAUCAUAGACUGUGGAUGGUUGCAAAACUGGAAACUUGUUCUCAUUCACCAUAUUGCAACAAGAUUGAAACAUGUGUAACUGUUCACUUGUGGCAGAUGACCAGAUACCCCCAGGAGCCUGCUCCCUACAAUCCCAUGAAUUACAACUUUCUACCCAUGACGUGGAGAUUAGCAUCCAUGAACACAUACCGGGGAACAGAUGCCAUGCACUGGAGAUUACUGAAUCAUUCCCAGGUUGGUGACACAGUGCAACUGAUCCUGAUGCUGGAGUAAAGGUGACUGACUGAUGGGAGCUCCUGGGAAGGUUUGUCAGGUCAGGGACCACGACCCUCACAGGUCUUGAUAGCCUGGCUGGCUCCUGCCCCUGUGCCCUUGGGGUAGACUUUGCACCCACCCCUCUGUUUGUUCCUCAAGUUUCUAGUUCUACAGCAACUUCUGUCAUGGUCAGACCUACUUUUUACAUGAUCUACUUUCUAUGAGCCUGGCCUAUCUCUGUCCUGACCGUUCUCCCUAGCUGGAGACAAACUGCAUCUUCUCUUGCCCACUUUGUGCCUCUGGCCCUGACCUUAUAGAUGGCUUUUCUUAAGACCCCUCCUCCAUUCAAACUCCUCCACCUGGGCUUCUAGUGCCUUGUGUGGCAGGAGAUUUGUCCCCAUUUACCUUAGGAUGUCUACAGGUGCCUCUGGAGGAGGUACAGAUAGGGACUCUAUGCCCUGUGGGCCUCUGACCUAUCACUGGCAAGAAGUUUGCCUGGUGCUGGGUAGAGGACACUCAGUGCUCAGUAGCUUGAAGGCACAGUGGGAGACUUACAGAGAACAUCUGGAGUACUUGUCCAGGUGCUCAGUUCCUUGGCUCCAGGAAGUGAAUCUGACCCUAGGCCCCUCCCACCCCAACUUGUUUUAAAGUAAUUAAACUUUACUGUUUUUACUUAA
Molecule: RNA transcript, 1084 nt
Organism: Mus musculus (house mouse)
Lineage: Eukaryota; Metazoa; Chordata; Mammalia; Rodentia; Muridae
Gene: Tcl1b2
Gene name: T cell leukemia/lymphoma 1B, 2
Exons: 4
Source: RefSeq, marked validated